RNAcentral lists this long non-coding RNA (6009 nucleotides) under Salmo salar (Atlantic salmon). RNAcentral describes it as "lncRNA (ENSSSAG00000109431.1)". Lineage: Eukaryota; Metazoa; Chordata; Actinopteri; Salmoniformes; Salmonidae. The record is from RNAcentral.
UGCUUGUACGGUGUAAUCGCUUAAAUUAAGUAAUGUUAGACAUAGAAAUGCUAGCGCCUUUGCUUAUUAGCCUACCUUCCACAAAAUUGAGGCUGCAUGACUUUCCAAGGCCAGCGAUGCAAGUGCAUCCAGCCGUCUCCACUGAUCCGUUGUUGGAUACAAGUACCCAUGCAGAGUGGUAAGAGCUGCUUGAUUGGCUGGGCUGAACAUCGGCCUUAAAAAAAUACCAAUCCUUUUCCCUCCUCCUGGUGAAGAAGAACCCGGCCCACGUUACCACAGUGGAGGUACUGACCGGCCUCUGUACUCUUGUAAUUUUUCAUAGUGGAACCAUCCACUCCCAAGGAGAGAAUGAAGUAAUAAAAAAUGUUCCCAUAUGUAACUUUAUCAUGUCAUCCACCCAAUUAUUAAUCAUGGACGGAUGGGGUACGGUGAUACCAUCCGACCUACGAAUGGCCAUGUGUGUGUGUUCUCAAAUGUGAGCCAUGUUUUGUUUUUGUUUAUUUGUUAAGAUGUGUUAAUGUUGCGCAUUUUUUAUUAUUAGCUAGCCACCGCUCGGAGGUAAUUCGCUAGCGUUGACGGAAGUUGUGAAACGGAAACACAAACACAAUCGCGUUCGAAAGGGAACUGGGUCAAGUGGGCAAGACUAAAUAAGGCGAAUACAGGACAAAAGAAAUUGACAAAGUAACUUGGUAACACAGGCAUUCACCUUUAUAAAACCAGUCAUCACCUUCAUGAGUGUUGCAGUAUCAUUCAUAACAAUCUUCAUAACACAUUUAUUCAACGUCAUUCGAGACUUGUUUCCAGAAACUCUUCAGUCAAACAGUUGUCAGAGAAUUGUAAACUCCAAGAAGUAGAUGUGUUUUAGGAGGUGUGAAAUAGCUUCCCUAAUAACAGUGAACCAGGAAGAGACACAAUGCUUCUCAGUAAAAAGGGACCUGUGGUAAUCUGACCUCACUAGAAGCUCUGUACAGGCCCGUAUCAUGAUUUAUCAAAUAAACUUUGUUCUUUAAACUGCAUUUGUCAGUGAAAGUGUGUUGGAGAUAUGUUCUCUGGAAUGUUAAUCAUAAGAGAUUAAAUCUGCACUCACCACAAUGGUUGAAACUCAUAGAGGAACUAAACACAUCAAGUGAGACUGCCAGAUAGUUUUUCUUUUUAAAAAAUGGGUUACUUUGACUUAUGCAUCAGGGAUAGGUCAGGGAUGGGCCGGCCACAUUCAACCGAUUUGUAUUUCAAAAUCAAUUUGCCCGGCCCGAAAAAAGGGAAGCUAUUUCAAUAUAACUCGAUUAUAAUUUAUACAUACUGUAUAUCAAGUUUAAGAAGCUCAAGUGUAGCCUGGAGUCCUCUUUUCAUCCAAAAGAAUCAUGUAUUGUGGAAAAGAGAAGUAUGUACAUUCAUGUGCAUUUAGAGAUAACAAUGAUAGGUAGCAGCUGGCAAUGUGUAGCAGCUGGUAAUUUCUUUAGCUUAAAGGAGCAACACAAAUGAUUUGAAGUUGCAGAGCCAUUUUGGACUGCCCAGUACAUGUAUCUCUCCUCCCUAUGCUUUCUUUCUUUCUUUCUUUCUUUCUUUCUUUCUUUCUUUCUUUCUUUCUUUCUUUCUGCACAGAGCGUUCUCUAGGCACAGAGACUUUUCCGUGGCUGUUUUUCUGUAAAUGACUAGGGUAAAAGGUCAGUGUGUGGGCUGGAUGACUGCGCUAUUGCUUUAAAUCCCUCCAUCAGCAGGCCUUCUUCCAGGGGAAUUUCUGCUGCAGCUGCAGGCCCUAUGAUGACCCAUGAACCUAUAGCCUUCAUACCCAAAUUCUUCAAAUUCACAGAGCAGCAACAUUUCAACCUUACAUGCCUUGUACAUACCAACUACUUUCUCGGAGAACGGUCAGUGGAGAUCGCGUUUAAGAUUCUCUGCAUUUAAGCUACAAAGUGGUUGUUUGUCAUCUUCAGACCAGGCAUAAUGGUUAUACGGUUUUGUGAGUCACUCUCGUUCUUUUCAUUGCUGACCAUGCAGAAAGAGACGACGACUCAGUGCUGACCAGUCCAGACACAGGCCAUUUCAAGUGCUCAGACGAGAGACAAAGGUGCGCUUUUAUGAGAACAGCUUUUAAACUCACAGGUGUUCUGUUCUUGACUCCCACAUGCACGAGAAUGUCAGAUUCCAACUGAUCUCUGGGUAGGAGCUAGGGAGGUAGAGACAAGACAAAUACAGAUAAAAGUAGCACGUCCCUCUUCCUGUGAGAGCCAUUCUCUAGGCUAUUUAUGGCAGCAUCGCAACUCAUUGAACUGUUACACUUUCUACAUGUUUGACAAGAUUGGAAAACCUCACAAGGACACCUGUAUCAGCCCCAAGUCGUUAACUUUACAGGAUGUCAAGACGCAGCAUAGGAUUCUGCUAAACAGAGAGCAUAUAGCGUUUUUAUUAAACCAGGUCCAUUCUCAUAUUCUCAUUCAACAUUUAAUUUAUCACAGCUUCUUAUAACAUAUGAGAGCAGUUUAUUUCGUGUGUGAGUUAUCCCUUGACUAGAAAAUCUCAGUUUUUCAUAAAUAAGGCAAUCUCUCAAAGGCAACAUUCUUUUAUGAAAAUAUGGAGAGGUCUAGUUUCCAAAAGAGCUCUGGUGGCUAUGGAGGCUAUGGAGGCUAACCCAUCUUAAAGUAUACAUGUCCUGCAUACCAGCAUUUACCAGUGCUGUAUCCACAACAUGUGAUUGCAUAACAUCCCAGAUGCAGGUCAAACAACCCUGAUUUUCAAGAAGGGGGUCUUUUCUGUUUUGGGAAAUAGAUGUUUUCAGAGAAUGGUCUUAUCUUGGAGCUUCUCUUUUUCUGUUCCUCUUCUCAAACGUCUUUCUUUAGUUAGUAGGUGAAGAGCUGGAACUAAAUGUCAGUUACAGUAGUACUGUAAUUGAAUGUUCCUCUUCUCCAACCUCUAUUUUUAGACUCGGUGAAGGGUCUUAUGCAACUUAACUUUAAAGCGUUGCAGGAACGUUCACACGGUACUCAUUCAUUUUAGGAAGGGAUAUUGGAACCAGUUGAUCGAUUUGAAACAGACACCUAGGGCAUUGAAACAACAACAUGGAAAAGGUUUCUUUUUCGAGAGCUGACAUAUAUGUCAUGUAGCGGAUGCUUCUGAAAUACCCCAUCAUAUCUUCAUUUGCACCACCACUGAAAAACGUGAGGGAAAUGGCCAGUUCACAUGACACAACAGUCUAUUAGUGGCGUAAUGUAUACAUGGUGGAUGACCAUGAAGAGUAACUCCCUUGCAUUUGUCAAAUAACAUCUUUAUUUUUUAUCUUUAUUCAUCCACAUAUUAUGUGCUUGUAUUAGAUCAGCCUGCUAUUAAACUCUAUUAGGCCUACAACGAACAAUAGCAAGACUUGCAGUAUCUACAUUCAAAAGCAUACGUCAGUGCUUGCCCUCUUUUGCAACAGUCUAAAAACAGCCAUUUUACAACGUCUGCUGCUGUAGACUGUUAAAUGAGUGGUUAUUUAAUCCAAAUUAGAAUACCAGAAGACUCCAAAAACGAACAGAUUCAGCUUAAUCCUGCUCAGAGCGAAAAUCAGGUUGCUAAAGGAAACGGCCAGACGGAAUGGUUUAUGCCGCGAUAAUCUCCUGCAGGCAUCUUGAUUGUGUGUUGGCAAAACAUCAGUAGCGGCACAGCGACCGCUGGCCCACACGGCAAUUACACUGUGCUCUUAUCAGAAUGAAUAGCAGGCCUGUUGUCAGCCCGGGCUUAACAGCAGGUAACCAUGCACUCUCUCUGGGCUGUCCUGACACUAAUAUACACCUAUCUCUCUCUUUCUCGCUCUCUGUUUCGCUCUCUCUGUUUCUCUCUCUCUGUUUCUCUCUCUCUCUCUCUCUCUCUCUCUCUCUCUCUCUCUCGCACUCAGUCUGUCUGUUUCUGCCUCUCUCUCUCUCUCUCUCUCUCUCUCUCUCUCUCUCUCUCUCUCUCUCUCUCUCUCUCUCUCUCUCUCUCUCUCUCUCUCUCAGGUCAUGAAAGCACACUUAUUGCAGAAUACUCGCCUUGCACUCUGUCAUUCCUGUCACCGGCCACUCAUGACCUCUCUCAUACUUAUGGGGACUUUCACUCACAAAAGCUAUUUUGGGAUUUACAGUGCAAUGGAGAAGACUAUAGGAUAGCAGUUGGAGAAGUUUAUUUCAGUACACAAUCUUCUUAUCCUUUUAUUCAUUGCAUAUCUUUUUAUAUAGCUGGUGUCUCCGAUGAAAUUCGGAAAAACCAACAACACAAAAAAUAAAUGUAUACAACUAUCCUAAAUGAGAAGAAACAGUCGAGUAAAGAAAAGUGGGUCAAACGGUCCCCUCAGAAUGACCCCAACACAGCCGCAACAUCUUCCAGAUCAACCUCCCCCAGUACAUAAUUGUUCCUUUGACCUUUUGAGUCUUAAUGUCAUUUGUGGUAACCAUUCCAUGAGUUUGAUUAAACAAUGCUUAUCCUAACAUCCACAACAGAUGGGCCGGGAUAAUGCGCUUCAGUUCCACAGCACCCUAAUUUAAUCAAUAGCACCUGAGGGUUUGCAGGAGAUUCUUUGCAGACCAGUCCUGCAUGCAGCUCCGCACCGCUGUAUUGCAGAUAUUUUCCUCUGGUUAGAAAAUGACCAGAGGAAGUCCGGCCGACCUCACGUGCAAACCUCUUGUUGGCUAUUCGUUCAACCCUCACAGUGAGCUCUUAUAUCUUUGGGUGCCGGUAGAUAUAAUAAUUUUGCAGACUGAUGGAUCAAGGCCCAUCUGAUGUGUACACACAAGUAUAUGACAGGCUCUCCCUCUUCUGUAAUUAGGAAGUUGUCGAUGGAAGAAACUAAAGACAAAGUCUUCUUACGUACGGCAGCAGUCUAAAGAUAGGCCAUAAGAGGAGUCCUAGCAGGUAUUACAUCAUGACAGCUUUGACCUCGCAUAGUGGGGAAAGAUAAAUGAUACCUUCACCGGCCAUGUUUAAAGUGGGAUAGUCUUUCCUCAUGCAUUGGGGUCUGGCAGAAAAGGGCUUCCAUGGGGUUUAAUGCUCCCACAAUGAGUCCAAACAUGUUUGUUUAUUUUUAUAAUUCUAAAGACUUUUUUUUCUCUCUUCUCUCCCUUCGACUCUGGGAAUUUCCAUGGAAUUGUGUUUAGGAUUCCUUCCGUGGAGCUGUGUGUGUGCGUGCGUGCGUAUCCCUUGGAAUGAGAGUAAUACUCUCUCUCUCUCUCUCUCUCACUCUUUUCUCUUCUUCGUUCUGUCUUUGCUUUGAGCUGUUCUCCCUGGACGAGCUGCUGCUGGAAGGAUCCCAUCUGGACGCCACUUGUCUAGGCUGUUGGGUAAACAACGGGCAGGCGGGGGAGGAAAAAUGUGGCAAUUGAGUAUCACAAGAGUUGAACCAUUUGAUUUAUCUGUAAACAACCUCUUGACAAUGGAAUUUCCAUGCAUUUAGUCAACAUUUGGCAAAGUUAAUGGAGCAGAGUUAAUGGAGUAGACAUCAAGGCUAGUAUGGUUCCACUUUCUGAGUGACCUUAUUACCUUCAUAACAGUCAACGAAUGUCCUUGUCUGUGUCGUUAUCUACUGUCAUCACUUAAGUCAAAAAUGUGACAUUUGAAACUGGAAGUCUAUUCCUUUUCUUGUUCGUUCAUUUCCAAGGGGACUUUUAGAGUUUAAUGCUAACAUUUAAGGCUCCCGAGUGGCGCAGCGGUCUGAGGCACUGCAGCUCAGUGCUAGAGGCGUCACUACAGACCUUGGUUUGAUUCCAGGCUGUAUCACAACUGGCCGUGAUUGGGAGUCCCAUAGGGUGGUGCACAAUUGGCCCAGAGUCGUUUGGGUUUGGCCGGGGUAGGCCGUCAUUGUAAAUAAGAAUUUGUUCUUAACUGACUUGCCUAGUUAAAUAAAAUACAAAUAUUGUUGGAGUAUGUGCUCUUGCUAAAUAAAGGACUUUUACAAUGUUGCCAUUUAGCUUUCAUUUACCAUUCUACCAAUCACCUUCUUUGCCCUGAAUACAUCUUAGUGAGUUCAGGAGACGUCACUUCAUCAUCAGAGCUGAAAUGACC